GCCUCUUUAGCUCAGUGGCAGAGCACUGGUCUUGUAAACCAGGGGCCGUGAGUUCAAUUCUCACAAGAGGCA
Non-coding RNA from Drosophila persimilis, 72 nucleotides. The record is from Rfam. NCBI's taxonomy places the organism in Eukaryota, Metazoa, Arthropoda, Insecta, Diptera, Drosophilidae.